Molecule: long non-coding RNA, 589 nt
Filed under: Phascolarctos cinereus (koala)
Lineage: Eukaryota; Metazoa; Chordata; Mammalia; Diprotodontia; Phascolarctidae
Description: lncRNA (ENSPCIG00000035026.1)
Source: RNAcentral
CUCCAGAGCCAGGAGGCCCUGCCGAGGGCCUUGGCUGGAGUCCAUCCACCUGGAUUGGGGGGCCGCCCUGGCAGGGUCUGCCUUCAAAAUGCCAGAGCUGGGCUGAUUCAAGGUGUCUGCUUACCUUCAUGAAGCUUACGCUACAAUCUGGCCUUGAGAUACAAACUCAGAUAAGUAUAGUUCAGGUCAACAUUUAUUAAGCAUUUCCCUCAGUACUGAACAAUGUGUAAAGUAUUGGGGAGAACCCAAAGUUGGGACGAGUCAUUCUUCCUCCUCCCAUGGAGCUUCUAGGUUAGUAGGGAGAUAAGACACAGACAUGAGAAAUCACGUGAGGGCCUCUGAGGCUGAGCAUGCAAUCAGUACCUUUGUGCCCAGAACACAAGAAAGGUGAAGAAGAGAUGGAAAGCAGGAUGCCAAUGAGAGCUGAGGAGACAAGAGUGUUUGCAGUUUUCAUUCAGAGGAGAAAAGAGGACUUGGUGAGAGUUGGAGGGAAAAGAGACUACCUAUAAGUGUCUGAAGAGCUGUCUUGUGGAAGAGGGACUAACUUGUCUAGGAGUUGUAGGUAAGAAUUUGCACAUAGGCCCAUUUC